UGUCAUUUCCACCCACCUCUUUCCAAAGAACAGAACACAAUCACUUCCCGGCCCGUUCCUGCCGCUGCGCCCCGACCCCGGUCCGUCCCCGGCCGCGCGCGGACGCCAGGGGCCCCUCUGAGGUCUUUCCCGCCCCGCACGCUCGCAUCCUUGCAGCCUGUUUUCGGAUCUGUAUCAUGCCGGGUGUUUUGGGGGUGGGGGAGGGGGCUCGAGGCGAUCUACAGGAGGAGACAGGGCCGUGGAAAACUGCUAAGGAGCCGGGGACGUAAAGGAGAACGCAGAGCUGCCUGCAGUCCCUCGGCCGCGUGGCCCGUGCUCCAGGGGAAAGACGGAACCAGCGCCCCGCGCGGAGGGGCUGCGCGCGGAGGGGUCGCUGCGGUUGGGCCCCGGGGGGAGGCAGGGGUGUGCAGCGCGCAGGAAACCGGCCCUGCGGCGGGGUCUUGGCAUCAGGUUGCAGGGCUUAAAGGCUUUCUGUUCUUGGCUUCCCAGCUGCUGCGGUGUCCAAGUCCCCCUGCACCCGGUCAAGGGUAGGUGGGGGGCUGGUCCUGAACGACCCUCGCCUCCACCCCUUGGUGUUGGCCUCUGGUUCCCAGUUCCUGCUGCUACUCCCUCUUCCUGGGAGAAGGGAGAGGGGGGCAGACGAGACAGCGCAGCCAUCCCCGCCUUGCACCCCCGCCUUAGGUCCCCCCGGGCUGUCCACCGGAAGGAGACCUGGGAAGGAAUUUGCUGUGAGAAAAGCGGGAAACACUGUCUCCACUAGUAUUCGCGGCGUGCGCUGCCCUCUUGCCAGAGCUGUUUGAAGGCUGUUUCCACGGGCAAAUGCACAUGGGACCCGGUUCCCAAACUCUGAGAGGCCAGCGCCCACAGGCUGCAGAGGUGUGCCCGCCACACCCCUCCGGCUGGCCGACCCUGACCUUGAGGGUGGCCCCGGGCCAGCUCGCCCAGCCCGCCCGCAGGUGGACGGUCACGCUCUGCUGACUCAGGCCCCAACGGGGCAGGUGCCUGCCUUCAACCCCAUGAGUAAUACCCAGCUUUUCAUCUUCAAAGGGCCUUCCUGGGAUUAACCAAUUAGUCACCCCCAGGAAAGCUAGGGAGCAGGUUAUUACUGGGCCCAUUAAGGCCGUGGUGGGGGAGGGAAGUGGUGCAGGCGCGGCCCCAGUCCAGGGAGAGCCCGGAUUUGGGUUCAGGAUAUCCCAGGACCAUGUCCUUCCGCGGUCCAGUGGAGUCCGGAGCUUGUCGGGUAGCAGUGGUGAGACCACUGAGGGGCUUGGAGAGCCUCAGGCCAGUGCAAAGGGCCGCCUUGCUGACCCACAGCUGGGAGAGGCAGGCGGUCUGACACAGGCUUACCCACAGCGGCUGCACCAUCUGCUCCAAGCAAUUCAGAAACUGAUACUGGCUUGCCUCCCGUCUCUCUGGCCCCCCUGAGCCAUCCCGAUAUUUGCGAAAUGCACUUUGGAACCCUUUCCUUUUCGUGUCUGCAGGCGCAUUUCGAAUGACUAAAAAUGAUAACGCACAUGCUACAAAUCACCUUGCAAAUCAAAAGUGUGACGUGAGGGCUUAGCACAGCCAGGGCCGCGGGUCCCUCCGGGUAACGCUGCGCCCCUGUGCUUGUCCUCCUUCAGGGGCACGACGCAGAAGGCUGGAGAGUUUUAGGAGGUAAGUCUGUGUCCUGGUGACAGAGUGAGGACUGAGACACCUUCUGGAAGCCAGACAGCAGAGCGAUCCUUUCAGUCAACCCUGUCUGCAGCUGCUUUUUAUAAACUUGGCAUAAAUAUGGGCUUGGGAACGCCAGGGCAGCGUAUCUGGAAAAUAUUUUCUACCAUUCGAAAACACACACACACACACACACACACACACACACACACACACACACACACACACACACAGGCUUGGAAAGGAAAAAAAAAAAAACACCACGCAACAGAAAUUGUGCAUUGUACAGAGUGGCUUCACAUGUAGUUUUUUUCCAUUACUUCCUCAGUUCAUUUUUCUGCUGCCAAUUUUAGAAGGCCGUAAGUCAUAGUUGUUGUUAAACUUUGUCAGUUAAAAUGUAACUCUAAGAACAAGUCAUAUGAUACGCUGGAGCCAAAUGGCCUCUGGGAGAGCUGAUGGUGGGAGGAAGACCUUGUCAGCCCAUCCCCGAGUCUCAGGUCUUCUCUGCAGUGUUACACAUCGUGCCCACGAGGCGGUCCUGGCUCUUGGCUCCUAGUUUUCACGUCCACCCCGGCUCCAAAGGGCCACCUAGGAGAGGGAAGGAGACUUUUCCACAUUCACUUUGUGUGACCCGGGAGUCGAGUGUGGUCUCAUUAGGGCUGAUUCAUUACGAGUUCUCCACUUUUCUUUCUCUUAGAAAAUGGCUGGAUUCACUGUCUCCUAAAUGUCAACCCAGCAGAAUCAGAAAUUAAGAGGUGAAGGGGAGGAAUUGGUGGUUUGAGGCUGGGACUGUCCAGGGUGCUCACAUCUCCCUGGAGGAGCUGCAGGCCCAGGGGCACAGACCCAGGCUGGUCUCUGUGCGCACCGAGGUGGGCUGCACUGGGGUUUGCCUGCCGGGCAUCACCGCUGGGCUGGGAGCCUUUGAGGGCAGGGCGUGUGUUUCCCUGCAGGGCUGGUGUCCAAGGUAAGGCCAGGGACCCAGUCAGCACUCACAGGUGCCUGUGCAGAAAACCGGGAUAAAAGACAAGACACCAAACCAGCCAUCAGGGAGGCACGGUGGAGGGGAGGGCCUCUCCCUCGUGCAGUCACCGUCUUCUGCGUGCCCUUCUGUCCUUUCUUCUUCUCUUCAGUCUGACUGUCCCUGAAGCCACCUUGGGGUCCUGGAAGAGAGGGUGGGGGACGUGAGGUGUGGCAAGGGGAGGCUUUCUCAGGGGCCGCGUCCCUGCACUUGGAGCCUGGGUGUAAUCUUGGUGUAAACGGGAACCGGGACCAUUGCUCUGAAAACUAGAUCACUGCUUCAAUCCCGGAGCCCCUCAGGGACUUUCUGGUGGGACUGACGGGUCUGAUUCCAUUGUCAUGAUAAAGUACAGCUCUCCCAGGUCCAGAAUGUCCAUCUGCCACCAGGGUGCCAGCACCCAUCUGCUGCCCAGAAGCUUGAGAGGAAGGGCAGAGCUGCCCCAGGCCCUCCCGGCCACGGGCCUCAGCGCUGCUGCGGGUGAUGCUCUUGCUGCUGGUUCCAAAAUGAACCAGCUGGUCACGGGCGCAUGCUCAGUGUUGCCAUGCGUCUCUCUGGGGCCUUCUUCCCUCCUUUCGGAUAGGAGGUUUUUGUUCAUUCGUUCAUUCCUUCACUCCUCCACCAAAUACGCACGGCAGAGCGCCUGGGCUCACUUCACGGCUCCGUGCUGGCCCCGCGGAUCCCCGGCGAGGAGGCCAGCCCCGGGCCUUGUGGAGUUUCCAUCCUAGGGGGGCUGACGGACAGAUGGACAGGGGCCCCUUCCCCUCACAGUGCCUUUUGCACAUGAUGCCACCUACGGCACUGAAGGAGAGCGGAUGGGGGCUAGGAGAGCCACUCAGGAAAGAGGGCUUAGUCUUAGGGAGAGAGUGGGGGCCCUCGGAUUUGCCACGUAACUUCCAGAGCCUUCCCUGUGGAAUGGGCACGGCGUCGCUGCUCCGUGGGUUUGCCCGGAGGGGCAGGGAAGAUGGCACCUGUGACAGCCCCCCGACGAGUGUUGGCGGCUCCCAGGACUCCCAGUGCUGCUUUCCUGGAAGAAAGUAAACAAAACAAGUGUGACUAUUUAAAACAAUUAUUGGAAAACCGGCUCUGAACACCGUGGCUUUGAACGGCUCUCCUGGGCGGAUGUGUCGCUGGGUCCCUGUGGCGCCUCACCCCAUGGUGUGUACGUGGGGAGGGGCCAGGGCCAGCCAGAGCCUUGGGCGAGGAGGAUGUGACGGGCCCAUGAAUGGCCCCCUGAACACACGCGGACGCGGAGGGAGAGGACCGUCCUCUCCAGUGACGGCUCUGUCUGGGAGGGAGAAGGCCUUCCAGCAGCUCUGGUGCCAGCUUGCAAGGAUGUGGGGCCAGCAGAGCCCCUCGAGGUGUUCACCGGUGUGGCUGGCCCGGCUCAGGUUUUCCACUGACAGCCACAUGUUACAGACACCCUUGGGAGACGUUCCACUGCUUUCAUAAUGCAGAAGGGUUUUUUUUUCUGACUCAUCUUCAGAAGAUCCCCCCCCCCCGCCGCCGCCCCAAUCCCCCAUCGUUUGAAAAUAAAUAUAAUUAGUAACAGGCAGACAUACUGUA
Molecule: long non-coding RNA, 4234 nt
Organism: Camelus dromedarius (Arabian camel)
Lineage: Eukaryota; Metazoa; Chordata; Mammalia; Artiodactyla; Camelidae
Exons: 3
Source: RefSeq, a predicted model, not a curated record